Molecule: ribosomal RNA, 253 nt
Filed under: uncultured bacterium
Lineage: Bacteria
Description: partial 16S ribosomal RNA
Rfam family: Bacterial small subunit ribosomal RNA
Source: RNAcentral
UACGUAGGGGGCAAGCGUUAUCCGGAUUUACUGGGCGUAAAGCGCGUGUAGGCGGUUGCGCAAGUUGUGUGUGAAAUCUCCCGGCUCAACCGGGAAACUGCACGCAAUACUGCGUGGCUAGAGUGGCAGAGAGGAAAGUGGAAUUCCCGGUGUAGUAGUGAAAUGCGUAGAUAUCUGGAGGAACACCGGUGGCGAAGGCGGCAUCCUGGACCAACACUGACGCUGAGGAGCGAAAGCCAGGGGAGCAAACGGG